This 1901-nucleotide long non-coding RNA is filed under the name Triticum aestivum (bread wheat). RNAcentral's name for it is "long non-coding RNA (TAES_LNC004050)". The record is from RNAcentral. Lineage: Eukaryota; Viridiplantae; Streptophyta; Magnoliopsida; Poales; Poaceae.
UAAGAUCUUUUUGAGACCCUGGGUGACUCGCGUGGACUUAUCCCCUCUCGGUAAGCCGAAGACCAUAUCGUCCGCGUAGCGUGCAUAAUAGAAGACUACGGCCCCAUCCAGUUAGUUUGUACCCACAACGGUAAGGGCUUGUUCAGAAAAGAAGGGUCAAGGGUCACUUAUGGGAAUGAUAUACAGUGCAGCUAAUACUGUAAUUAAACAUGAAAGGAAAUAUAAUUCUAAUUAGUGGAAGGAACUUUGCAUAAAUUACUGCAACUGAAAAAUCUAAAUAAAUCUUACUUCAUCGCGUUCAGUAUAUGAUGUUUGCCUUAAUUUUUAUAUAAUAAUAUAAAAGUAACUACACCCAAGAGGAACACAACAUACACCUUCAGAUGAAAGAUGUGUUGUGGGCAUUCAUCCUAAACAAAGAAAACAAAUCACCAUAAGUCAAAUUGGUAGAAGCUUUCCAUAAGAUCGGACAACCAAUUAACUUUGUUCCCUACAGAUGAGAAAUCCAAAGGGGAAGACAUUGUAAAUUGUGCAACAAAUCACUGGAAAAAAGACCAAGCAAAAACUACCAUGCUGAAAAUUAUCUACUACCCAACACACAGACAUAAAACAAUUCCUUAUUAUGACAUGCAUUUGUUCAACUUCAGAAAACAAGCAAUAGAAGAAUUGUAACUCAGGUAGCAUGGGACGAUAAAAACAAUUUGCUAUGGAACUGUAAAUAAUUAUGGGAUACACAUGGAAAACCGCAAAGAUAAAAAUUCUAGGCUACACAUAUAAAAUUCCAACAGUAAAAUCUAGAUCAUUACAACAAAUUUCGAACUGUAACUCCAGCACAUCAAGACUGUAACUACGCACUAGCAAAUACUAAUUCUGGGAUGACAUGAGAAGAGUUCCACAGGUAAUCCAAGUCAAUUACAACAAAAUAUGAAUUGUAACUCCAGUGCAUCAUGGCUGUAACUACACAGUAACAAAAUAGUAAUUAUGGAGUAAAAUGAGAAGAGUUCCACCAGUAAUCCAAGUCAAUCACAAAGAAAAUAUGAGUUGUAACUCCAAUACCUAUACAUUAUAGAAGCUAUGGAAUAGCAAUACUAAUUCUCAUUUAGUUGGUGAUUGCGGGCAACAAGAACAAUACUCGGUUGUAGUUAGGACUAAAUCUUCAAAAAUGCAUACACAUAAAUUAAAAGGAAAUUUGAAUUCAUAGUUCAUAGUUCACACAGGAACAAAAAUAUACACAAAGUAAAGGUUGGAUAUCUUACAAUAUGUGCAGGUGGCUGGAGACGACGUCCCCAACAUAUUUGCAGUAAUAUCGGACACUGAAGUGACAGAAACAAAGAUACAUAGCAACUGCAUCAACAAUAUUGUAAAAUGGGGAACUACAAAAACAGUACAUGCACUACAACUGUUGUCUAUAAUAUUGUAAAGGAGGAACUAUGAAACAUUAUUUGCAAGAAUGAUACCUCCAUGAGCUCUAGUGCAUAGCUGUUUCAAAUAUAAUGGAAAAUACAUAAAGUUAUUACAAAAUACAUUCAGGUUACACACUCUUUCAUAUCAACAAUGAAGUGGGAUAACUAAUUACAAUUCCUUGAUUAUGGAAAAUUUGAAUCUCCAAAGCACUAGAGCAACAGAAAAAAGUGGCGGCUAUCCGGGACACAACUAAAAUAUGUGAGCGGAGAAAGAAAAUUACAGGGCAUACCGCAAACAAAUUACAUAGAAGUGUAAGAAUAAAUACAUCAAAAAACUAUCUAGCAUGAUGAAAAAUAUGAAACAAUGCAUCACAGAGUUAUGAACUAAGCUUCAGACUUGGAAACAUUGGCAUAUGAACCAUACAUAACUUACUAAACUAACAAAUACACAAGCAUAAAGAGACAACACCAUCACUGCAUUUGCAAGGUUACAUACAUGGA